UUUCUUUCUUUCUCUUCCUCACCGAAACCGUGCGCACCGAGUUCUUCCUCGUGCCGAGUCGCCAUCUCCUCCCGUGCCCUAACUGCCACUCGGCAGUUCCCUUCUUCUUCCCCAGCCGAUUCCCUCUUCCUCUUCGGAUCUGUGCAUCUCCUUCCUCCCCAAGCCGCACACCCAACGCCACGCCCCCCAAUCCCUUCUCCUCCUGUGUCGCUGACGUUUUCUCCUCGCCGGCACUUGAGCGCCGCCCUUCCCCUCUUCGGAUCUGCGUGCCGACGCCAAUCCACCUCCGCCAGCCACAGGUCCGACCUAGCGCCGGCCAAACUCCUCUGCCCUAGUUUGUAUUCGGCGCCGCUGCCGUCUCUCGACCCGAACCAGCGCCGCUGUCGCCUGUGCCCUAGCGCCAACGGCCGAGUUUCAUCUGUGCCCUAGACCGCCGACUCUUGGUGUCUCCUCAUCGCGGCACCAGCGGGUCUUUUUCUUGCCGCUGCUCUCUACUGGUUCGUCACCGCAGUGGCUUUGGGUAGGAGGUUAUCAAUCUGGUUUGGGGUAUCCGGUGCGGAAAUCGCAAUCUGGUAGUAGUGCAUUGUUUUGGGUAUUUUCUUGAUUCGAGCAGCGAGGUGAAUUUCCAGCAGAACUUGGACACGAGACGAGUCUCUCGACGUUGAAUUUGGAUCGAUUUGGACUUUUCUUAUUGGAGGCGGGU
Zingiber officinale is the source of this 703-nucleotide long non-coding RNA. RefSeq lists it as uncharacterized. The record is from RefSeq and is a predicted model, not a curated record. NCBI's taxonomy places the organism in Eukaryota, Viridiplantae, Streptophyta, Magnoliopsida, Zingiberales, Zingiberaceae. The transcript is spliced from 3 exons.